UUUUUUUCCUAAUAAAUAGGGCAUUAAUUUCAGUCAAAAUGUAUCAUCUAAGAAGUCCAAUUUAAUACACCGUCCGAUGAGAAAAAACUGAUCUAAGUGGUCAUACAUCUCAGCUUACAAGUUAGAAACGCUGGAUUCCAAUCUUGUCUUGAGUGAUAUAUCCUCCAAAAAUGAUUCAUCUAAUUCAUGUAUGGAUGAGAUUUCUUCUCAAGUAAAAAAUCCUGGAUUAUGUCCAAAAUAUGCUUGUGGCACUCCUUGAUGAAUGAAAAUUCCUCUUGAUUUCGAGAAAAAAA
This 293-nucleotide long non-coding RNA is filed under the name Elaeis guineensis (African oil palm). Its description in RNAcentral is "long non-coding RNA (EGUI_LNC023886)". The record is from RNAcentral. Lineage: Eukaryota; Viridiplantae; Streptophyta; Magnoliopsida; Arecales; Arecaceae.